RNA transcript from Neodiprion fabricii, 3128 nucleotides. RefSeq lists it as uncharacterized. The transcript is spliced from 12 exons. The record is from RefSeq and is a predicted model, not a curated record. Lineage: Eukaryota; Metazoa; Arthropoda; Insecta; Hymenoptera; Diprionidae.
CUACUAUGCAAAGUAGAAUCUUUUGUUGAGCUAGUAGUUACUAUUAGGAAUAAAAUGCUCAAUUUUAUGCGGGACGGCGGAAAAAAGAGAUUAAAAUUAAUCAAAAAUCUGACAUUUUUUUUUUUCAUAGCCAGAUAAGAUCAGCGAAUUAUGAAUUGUUACGCCAAGUUUUGGUGUCGAAUAAUGCCAAAGAUUUUUAUCUUCAAAGUAGUUACAGAUUAUGACGCGACUGUGAAGGUCAGAAUAAGCGAGCCGAUUAGAUUAGACGAAAGCUUAUCUCUUGUAUCGGCCCAGUACGUGGACACGGUAAAUUUAUUCAGAUAUCGGUCGAAGAGUGAAUAAUACCAGUCAUUGUAUCAUUUAUCGCCAGUAACAGGUGUAAAUGCGAAAAUACUUUAAUUCAAACGGUCUACGAGUCGUGACGAAGCAUACGUACCUUCGAGAUUCGUUAACACGCCCUGGUCUUGCAAUAGAUAGACCCGGUAUCUUAUAACAUAACAAUAAAACAUUUACCAUAAAAAGGAGUAUAGUUAUUCAUGGUCGGAUUCUUGAAAUGUUAUCAUUGCAAAAUUGACAAGAUCAUUUUGACAGCUAUUUUAUUAACCGUGAUAUCCGAAUGAUCUGUACUGGCAAACUAAAUGGUCAGAAUUGUAAUUUAAAAAUAAAUAGAGGAAAUGAAGAAACGUGAGUGCAAAAAUCAAAGUGAAGUCAUCAUGUCGAAAAGGCUUGUUCCACCGGAUGGAGGUUGGGGAUGGCUGAUCGUUGUAGCUUAUGCUAUAAACGGGAUGUGUACAAUUCCUGUAAUGCAAGGAUUCGGGCUGCUUUUCAGAGGCACCUGCGCGGACCUUGGCAUGUCUGGAACGGACAUUUCUAUUAUUUUAAAUGUUAACUCCGCUUGUGGGAUGGCCUUGGGCCUCGCUAAUGGUCCACUUCUUCGCUACUUUGGAUGCAGAAAAGUCGCGGUAUGUGCAGCCAUAUUCUACGCAUUAGGACUAACGCUAUGUGCCUGGGCAAACUCGUUUAUUUACUUCAUCAUCACCUACGGCGUUAUAUGCUCUAUCAGCACCUCCGUAAUGAAUUCGGCAUUUUCUCUAUCUCUGAACUCCUACUUCAUGAAAAAAAGAGGUCGAGCUGUGGGCUUGGCGAUGACUCUAAAUGGACUAGGCCCAAUUGUUGUACCCCAGUUAAUAUCGAUUCUGCUGUUGAAAUACGAUGUUACGGGAACAACUUUUAUCUUGGGCGGCUUGUGUCUUCACUUGCUGGUAGCAGCUCUUCUUUUGCAGCCAAUAGAAUGGCAUCUGAUAGAGGACACUCAGGAAUCAGACCCGGAAGCUAUGCCAAAGCUCGUCGAAACUGAGGAGAAAGGUAGAAAGAACAGCCGGCACAGCAUCAGCAGAUCUAACGAGGACAUAGUAGCAACUGAACGAAAACGCAUACUUACCAUGUCUAGCGUUGAUCACGAAGUUGAUUCCGGUAGCCUCUACGGCUUUGAAACCCUCGUGCCAAGAAAGCAGUCAAUAACUUACACGGUGAAUACAGCAGCCAAAAAACCAUAUAGAAGGAGUGUCAGCCAGGUAGACGGUUCGUCAACAACCACUACGCCUGUGGAACGUUCCGAUCCUACAUACAAAUGGUGGAGCUCUGGGAAAAGCUUGGACACAAUCAAUCUGGGUAGCAGCAUAAAGAUAUUCGAAGGUGGAAAAGACGAUGAGCGAAGGGCUAGUGAGUCCCAAGUCCUAAUGCAAAAGAAGAAGGUGGAAACUGUUCACGAGGAGGAGGAUGAUUUUGAGAAUGAUGAUGAUAAGCAGACAAACCGCGAACAGAAGGAGAUCAAAAACAAGAAGUCGAGAAUAAGUCGCAUGCUGCAUUCGGUGGUCGUCUUCUUCGAUUUAGAUCUACUUCGUGAUCCUGUCUACGUAAGCAUAAUGCUCGGCAUGUCGAUAGCGGUAUUUGCCGAGUUGAACUUUUCAAUUCUGACACCUUUCAUCCUAAGCGACAUGAGCUUGAACACGGAGCAGAUUGCUACGGUGAUGAGCUGUGUGGCAAUUACAGAUCUGAUCUUCAGAGCGCUCGCCCCAUUCAUUGGGGAGUUUCUCAAACAACCGCCUAGGGUCAUGUACCUUCUCAGUCUAAUCAUGCUGAUUGCCACGAGACUGAGUCUUUUCUUAGCUGGAAAUUUCCGAAGUGUUGUGAUCAUUGGAUUUGGUCUUGGCGUUGCGAAGGGGGUUCGAUCCGUUUACAUGUCAUUGACACUCGCCAGUUAUAUACCAAUAGAAAAACUCGCGUCAGCUACUGGGAUCCAAAUGGUGACCAACGGAAUCAUACUUUUAAUCCUUGGUCCUUUGCUCGGUCUUCUGAGGGACAAGACGGGAAACUACGACUUGUGCUUACUGUUCAUAAACGGGAUAACCAGUAUCACCGUGAUGAUGUGGACGUUGGAAAUAAUCGUACGUAAGAUAAUGAGUAGACGGUCAAAGAAUGCUGAAAAUAAUGAUGAAGCCAUCACAUCGUAGAAGACGGAAGCAGAAUUAUCAACUCAGGCUCUUUUCACUAUUUAACUGGGCCACGGUUCGCCAUACCUGCAUCGGUAAUCAUCAGCGUAGCGAAUAAAAUCUUCUCUAAGGUACCCACGGACUCUCUCAUUUACUCACCUUAACCUCAUAAGCGACAGAAAAAUAAAAAAAAAAGACGCAGCAAAACUUAAUCUUAGGUUUUACUGGUGCUCCAGACAUUUUUUAACCACUUUUUUCGGAUUUCUACGUUUCCCUGUGGUUUUUAUCUCACGUUUCGUAGGCCGUCGAAUUACACGCAGAGAAUCUCAAUGGUGGUCGAGAGGCAGGAAAGACAAUGUCAGUUUUUCUCAUCGACUUCCGGCUUGGAGUUCCCAUGAUAUUAAGUGCUCAACACGUCUGAAUAACAUUCCUCGAUCUCACUUCCUCUCGUCACUAACGCGGCUCAGGAUGAAACAAAAAACUCAAAAGCCAUCUCAGCUUCCUUGUCCAUUUGGGAAUCAAUAUACGGAUGGUAAUUGUGGUGGAUUAAAUGCUCAGAAGAGUAACCUGAAUAUGAGGAACAUCGACACGGCCACUUGCAGCACCUUCGUGUUCGAGAUCAUUGUAGUUAAGGCC